GACGAACGCUGGCGGCGUGCUUAACACAUGCAAGUCGAACGGAGCGAAUGAAAGCUUGCUUUUAUGAGCUUAGUGGCAAACGGGUGAGUAACACGUAGACAACCUGCCGACAGGAUGGGGACAACAUUCCGAAAGGAAUGCUAAUACCGAAUGAAGCGAAGGAGAGGCAUCUCUCUUCCGUGAAAGAUGGCCUCUUUUUAUGCUAUCACCUGUCGAUGGGUCUGCGUCUGAUUAGCUGGUUGGUGAGGUAACGGCUCACCAAGGCGACGAUCAGUAGCCGGUCUGAGAGGAUGAACGGCCACAUUGGGACUGAGACACGGCCCAGACUCCUACGGGAGGCAGCAGUGGGGAAUCUUCCGCAAUGGGCGCAAGCCUGACGGAGCAACGCCGCGUGAGUGAAGAAGGUCUUCGGAUCGUAAAGCUCUGUUGACGGGGACGAACGUGCGAGAGGUGAAUAAUCUCUUGUAAUGGCG
RNAcentral lists this ribosomal RNA (473 nucleotides) under Centipeda dianae. Its description in RNAcentral is "bacterial SSU rRNA". It matches the Rfam family "Bacterial small subunit ribosomal RNA", at positions 28 to 474 of the family's 1533-position model. The record is from RNAcentral. Lineage: Bacteria; Bacillati; Bacillota; Negativicutes; Selenomonadales; Selenomonadaceae.